Molecule: non-coding RNA, 143 nt
Filed under: human gut metagenome
Description: SAM riboswitch (S box leader)
Rfam family: SAM riboswitch aptamer (S box leader)
About the family: The SAM riboswitch is found upstream of a number of genes which code for proteins involved in methionine or cysteine biosynthesis in Gram-positive bacteria. The SAM riboswitch acts at the level of transcription termination control.
Source: RNAcentral
CUUAUCAAGAGUGGCGGAGGGAAUAGGCCCUGUGAUGCCCGGCAACCCUAAGGCGGAUGUUCAUUUAGCAGUUUUAACACGACCUUAAAGAACUCCAUCUUAAAGGUGCUAAUUCCUACAGAGCAUUGCUUUGAAAGAUGAGG